GAUGAACGCUGGCGGCGUGCUUAACACAUGCAAGUCGAACGGGAUCCAAGGGGUGCUUGCACUUUUUGGUGAGAGUGGCGAACGGGUGAGUAACACGUGAGUAACCUGUCCUUUUCUUUGGGAUAAGCAUUCGAAAGGGUGUUUAAUACCUUAUGUUCUGUCUGCCUCGCAUGGGGUGGGUGGGAAAGGCUUUGGCCGGAUUUGGGUGGGCUCGCGGUCUAUCAGCUUGUUGGUGGGGUGAUGGCUUACCAAGGCUUUGACGGGUAGCCGGCCUGAGAGGGUGGUCGGUCACAUUGGGACUGAGAUACGGCCCAGACUGCUGCGGGAGGCAGCAGUGGGGGAUAUUGCACAAUGGGCGAAAGCCUGAUGCAGCGACGCCGCGUGGGGGAUGAAGGCCUUCGGGUUGUAAACUUCUUUUGCUCUGAACAAGGCAUGCCAGUGGGUGUGUUGAGUGUAGGGGUUGAUUAGCGCCGGCUAACUACGUG
This 485-nucleotide ribosomal RNA is filed under the name uncultured bacterium. RNAcentral describes it as "partial 16S ribosomal RNA". It matches the Rfam family "Bacterial small subunit ribosomal RNA", at positions 28 to 507 of the family's 1533-position model. The record is from RNAcentral.